Molecule: long non-coding RNA, 761 nt
Organism: Rosa rugosa (rugosa rose)
Lineage: Eukaryota; Viridiplantae; Streptophyta; Magnoliopsida; Rosales; Rosaceae
Exons: 3
Source: RefSeq, a predicted model, not a curated record
CUUGAAGUCAGUUAAAACUUCCUAGAAGACAUCAAAGUGAGAAAAGAACCAUGGAAGGUGCUAGGAGGCCGAGAAGCUGCACAGCUCGAGCUGGAAUUCGCCCGAUGCUGCUCUUCCUUCACCGGCCGAUAUCUCUCUCAUCCAACCUCGAAUCGAGUUGAUUCCAAAAGGGAUUUUGCUGGGCCUGAGCUAUAUUACAACUUUGUAGAAGACAUCGAGGGGAAAUAACCAACGUGGUAGCCGCUACAAGUCGAAGAACACGGUGCAGUCGAGCUGGAAAUCACCUCCUUUCCCCACCGUCGUUCUCCCUCCUCCGGCCACCUUUUGCCGUGAUUCUUGAGAGGAUUCUGCACUUCUGAGGAUGUAUAUCAUUUCCCCUAAGGUGGAUUGCAUCGAUUUCAUCUGUGGAGAUCGAAUUGGAACGAAUUCAAAACUAGGGUUCUUCGGGUUUCAAACCUUAUAAGGUGAUUGACGGUUUGAGUUAGUGGACGAUUGUGGAUCGUAUUUUGAGCGGAAUUGAAGACGCAGCGGGAUUAUCGAGCGGGUAAUCCUACAGGACAGGAGAACCAGGACGGUGAUCGUGCGGUUAGAGCAAUUGUUAGAGUUUUACAGCAAUUGUACGUUGUGAGGUGUGUUAUGCUCAUUUGAGCUUUACAAUAUUGCUUGUGAGAGUGAAUUGUAAUAAUGAACUCGAAGUUUCGAGAUUUGGAUUUUGUAAUUGUAAUUAUUCAUGUUUCGGAUUUGAAUUUAUUAUUCAAAAU